This 476-nucleotide ribosomal RNA is filed under the name uncultured bacterium. RNAcentral describes it as "partial 16S ribosomal RNA". It matches the Rfam family "Bacterial small subunit ribosomal RNA", at positions 28 to 506 of the family's 1533-position model. The record is from RNAcentral.
GAUGAACGCUGGCGGCGUGCCUAACACAUGCAAGUCGAACGAAGCACCUUACCUGAUUCUUCGGAUGAAAGUUUGGUGACUGAGUGGCGGACGGGCGAGUAACGCGUGGGUAACCUGCCCUGUACAGGGGGAUAACAGCUGGAAACGGCUGCUAAUACCGCAUAAGCGCACGAGGAGACAUCUCCUUGUGUGAAAAACUCCGGUGGUACAGGAUGGGCCCGCGUCUGAUUAGCUGGUUGGCAGGGUAACGGCCUACCAAGGCAACGAUCAGUAGCCGGUCUGAGAGGAUGAACGGCCACAUUGGAACUGAGACACGGUCCAAACUCCUACGGGAGGCAGCAGUGGGGAAUAUUGCACAAUGGGGGAAACCCUGAUGCAGCAACGCCGCGUGAGUGAAGAAGUAUUUCGGUAUGUAAAGCUCUAUCAGCAGGGAAGAUAAUGACGGUACCUGACUAAGAAGCUCCGGCUAAAUACGU